Molecule: long non-coding RNA, 619 nt
Organism: Piliocolobus tephrosceles (Ugandan red Colobus)
Lineage: Eukaryota; Metazoa; Chordata; Mammalia; Primates; Cercopithecidae
Exons: 3
Source: RefSeq, a predicted model, not a curated record
GGCCCGGGCAGCAGCGGCGGCGGCGGCGAGGUCAGAGGGAUCCUCGCAGAAACUGUGGUGGCUUCCGUGUGUUGGUGGAGGAAGAGGCAGGUCUUGGCGGUUCAACAGUAUGGCUCCAAAUGAUGAAAUUUCAUUCUGUUUUUCUGGCUGAAUACUAUUCUAUUUGUAGACAUCCACCACAGUUACUUUAUCCCUUCAUGUGUGGAUGGGCAGGUUUUUCCACAUGGCUGCAAAUGACUAGAUUUCACUCAUUUCUGUGGUUGAAGAAUAUUCCAUUCUGGAUGUAUAUUGCAGUUUCCUCAUCCCUUCAUCAAUGAAUGAACAGGUAGGUGUAUUUCCUGUCUUAGCUAUUGUGAGUACCACAGUACACAGGGCAAGGCAGGUAUCUCUUCCACACAGGAAUUUCGUUGGCUGUAAAUGUAUAACCAAUGGCGGGAUGGCUAGAUGAAAUGGCGUUUUUACUUUGAGGAACUUCUGGCUGUUUUUCCUAAUGUGUGUACAAAUUGACAUUCCUACCAAUCGUGUAUUAGAAGAGUUUCCCCUUCUGCAAGUCUAUACCAGUUGUUUCCUUUUCAAACUUUUAUUUUUGUUUUAGGUAACAUUCAUUCUAUGAGAGUGG